Molecule: long non-coding RNA, 590 nt
Organism: Capra hircus (goat)
Lineage: Eukaryota; Metazoa; Chordata; Mammalia; Artiodactyla; Bovidae
Exons: 4
Source: RefSeq, a predicted model, not a curated record
AGGAAGAGAGAGAAAUAGACUGCUGACUACAUGAUGAAACUUCCACAUCUUGUGCUGGAUACCAGUUGCAUCCCUGGACUCUGUAGUUAGCAGACAAUACAUCCCAUUUCUUCUGCUUCAGCUAGUUUGAGUUGGAGAUCAACCUAGAACCAUCCAGAAGCACCCCAUCAUCUACAAAAGAGCUGUUUCCUGUCUCUCCAGCUUUUCCCUUCACCAUCCUCCAGCUCCUCGGAUGGAGGCAGAGGUUUCCUAGAGGUUGAGGUCCUCUCUUCAUCUCCAGAGGGAGGACACAGACCACGUGUCUAACUCACCACUGCAUUCCACCACCUGGCCCAUCAUUUGACGGAUGCAGGAUGGACUUCAUGGGCGUGCAGCCUGGGUAGUUGCACCAAGUCUCACACUCACAAAGUAACUGGAAAGAUGAGUCUAACUUCUUAGAAAAGAAAGACAAGGGAGCUGGAAAAUUCUACAAACAGUGAGUGCUACCUAGAUGGUACCUCCUUAGGAUGCAUGAGCGUCAGCAGGAAUAUCAUAAUUUGAAUAAUAAAAGCAGUAUUAGAAAAUAAUGAAUCUCAAAGGAAAAAGAUGCA